UAGGACGCAAGUUUAUACCGUAGCUUGCUACACCAUAGACUGUGAGUUGCGAACGGGUGAGUAACGCGUAGGUAACCUACCUAUUAGAGGGGGAUAACUAUUGGAAACGAUAGCUAAUACCGCAUAACAGUAUGUAACACAUGUUAGAUGCUUGAAAGAUGCAAUUGCAUCGCUAGUAGAUGGACCUGCGUUGUAUUAGCUAGUAGGUAGGGUAAUGGCCUACCUAGGCAACGAUACAUAGCCGACCUGAGAGGGUGAUCGGCCACACUGGGACUGAGACACGGCCCAGACUCCUACGGGAGGCAGCAGUAGGGAAUCUUCGGCAAUGGGGGGAACCCUGACCGAGCAACGCCGCGUGAGUGAAGAAGGUUUUCGGAUCGUAAAGCUCUGUUGUUAAGGAAGAACGAGUGUGAGAAUGGAAAGUUCAUGCUGUGACGGUACUUAACCAGAAAGGGACGGCUAACUACGUGCCAGCAGCCGCGGUAAUACGUAGGUCCCGAGCGUUGUCCGGAUUUAUUGGGCGUAAAGCGAGCGCAGGCGGUUAGAAAAGUCUGAAGUGAAAGGCAGUGGCUCAACCAUUGUAGGCUUUGGAAACUGUUUAACUUGAGUGCAGAAGGGGAGAGUGGAAUUCCAUGUGUAGCGGUGAAAUGCGUAGAUAUAUGGAGGAACACCGGUGGCGAAAGCGGCUCUCUGGUCUGUAACUGACGCUGAGGCUCGAAAGCGUGGGGAGCGAACAGGAUUAGAUACCCUGGUAGUCCACGCCGUANACGAUGAGUGCUAGGUGUUAGGUCCUUUCCGGGACUUAGUGCCGCAGCUAACGCAUUA
RNAcentral lists this ribosomal RNA (825 nucleotides) under uncultured bacterium. RNAcentral describes it as "bacterial SSU rRNA". It matches the Rfam family "Bacterial small subunit ribosomal RNA", at positions 49 to 862 of the family's 1533-position model. The record is from RNAcentral.